RNAcentral lists this ribosomal RNA (253 nucleotides) under uncultured bacterium. Its description in RNAcentral is "partial 16S ribosomal RNA". It matches the Rfam family "Bacterial small subunit ribosomal RNA", at positions 524 to 776 of the family's 1533-position model. The record is from RNAcentral.
UACGUAGGGGGCAAGCGUUGUCCGGAUUUACUGGGCGUAAAGAGCGUGUAGGCGGCCAUACAGGUCCGUUGUGAAAACUGGAGGCUCAACUUCCAGACGUCGACGGAAACCGUGUGGCUAGAGUCCGGAAGAGGAGAGUGGAAUUCCUGGUGUAGCGGUGAAAUGCGCAGAUAUCAGGAGGAACACCGAUUGCGAAGGCAGCUCGCUGGGACGUUACUGACGCUGAGACGCGAAAGCGUGGGGAGCAAACAGG